UUCAGUGUUCUGAACCUGUAUUUUACAUUUUCAGAAAAGUUGACCACAGAAGCAUGUUUAUAUUGUAUUAAAACAAACUAUUUUUCUGGAAAGUUUUCCCAUUAAGCGUCUAACCUCCAAGCAUCGAAUCCCAGGCCAAUUUGUGAAGCAUGUUUAUAUUGUAUUAAAACAAACUAUUUUUCUGGAAAGUUUUCCCAUUAAGCGUCUAACCUCCAAGCAUCGAAUCCCAGGCCAAUUUGUGUGAGUAUAAGUCAUUGAUAUGGUUCUACUGUGAACCCACCUAAAUCUCAUCUUGAACUGUACCUCCUACAAUUUCCACAUGUCAUGGGAGGGCCCCGGUGGAAGGUAACUGAACAAUGGGAGCAGGUCUUUCCCAUGCUCUUCUGGUGAUACUGUCAUGAGAUCUGAUG
RNAcentral lists this long non-coding RNA (410 nucleotides) under Homo sapiens (human). RNAcentral's name for it is "non-protein coding lnc-GAS2-1:13". The record is from RNAcentral. Lineage: Eukaryota; Metazoa; Chordata; Mammalia; Primates; Hominidae.